This 222-nucleotide long non-coding RNA is filed under the name Nicotiana benthamiana. RNAcentral describes it as "long non-coding RNA (NBEN_LNC032755)". The record is from RNAcentral. Lineage: Eukaryota; Viridiplantae; Streptophyta; Magnoliopsida; Solanales; Solanaceae.
CCAAUUGCCAAAGCGCCUCCUUUGGCUCCCAGCCUGCCUUGCUUUCCGGUAGUCCCUUCCACUUGACAAGAUAUUCAUGCAAUGGUUCCUCGAACCUUCGUCGAAUCACCCGGUCAGUCAUGAUGCUUUCAACUUCCCUGUCAAAUGAUGUUGCAAUGACUGGAGGUGCCCGAUGUGACUCGUUCCUUAUGCGAGGCCAAUAGUAGUUAGCCCAUAUCAACG